AUUGAACGCUGGCGGCAGGCCUAACACAUGCAAGUCGAACGGAACCUUCGGGUUUAGUGGCGAACGGGUGAGUAAUGCCUAGGAAUCUGCCUAUUAGUGGGGGAUAACGAAUCGAAAGGUUCGCUAAUACCGCAUACGUCCUACGGGAGAAAGAGGGGGAUCUUCGGACCUCUUGCUAAUAGAUGAGCCUAGGUCGGAUUAGCUAGUUGGUGAGGUAAAGGCUCACCAAGGCGACGAUCUGUAGCUGGUCUGAGAGGAUGGCCAGCCACACUGGAACUGAGACACGGUCCAGACUCCUACGGGAGGCAGCAGUGGGGAAUAUUGGACAAUGGGCGCAAGCCUGAUCCAGCCAUGCCGCGUGUGUGAAGAAGGCCCUCGGGUUGUAAAGCACUUUAAGCGAGGAGGAAGGUCAUCAUACUAAUAUUAUGAUGAAUUGACGUUACUCGCAGAAUAAGCACGGCUAACUCUGUGCCAGCAGC
This 479-nucleotide ribosomal RNA is filed under the name uncultured bacterium. RNAcentral's name for it is "bacterial SSU rRNA". It matches the Rfam family "Bacterial small subunit ribosomal RNA", at positions 30 to 515 of the family's 1533-position model. The record is from RNAcentral.